This is an RNA transcript of Gallus gallus (chicken), 3052 nucleotides long. It is a transcript of the gene named dynein heavy chain 17, axonemal-like, with no coding region annotated. The transcript has 7 exons. Lineage: Eukaryota; Metazoa; Chordata; Aves; Galliformes; Phasianidae. The record is from RefSeq and is a predicted model, not a curated record.
CCCUUACCCAAACAUUAUAAAUAGUUGUGAACAACUUUGCACAGUUUAACCAAGUUAUUUUAGAAAAGCUUCUUCAAUUCUAUUAUAGAAUUCUGCCUAUGAUUAUCACUUUUCUAACAUUUGAGGGGUUUUGUUCCUUUUCAUGGGAAGUCUUCUGAAGACUGUUGAUACAACUUUGGCUUGUGGAGAGAUCGUACUAAUUGGAAACAAUGCUGAAUCUAUCAAUCCCAUACUUGAUCCCCUACUUGGAAGACAUACAGAAUUUCAAGCAUUGGUGUCCAUGUUGUAAAUGUAAGCGACAGCUCACAUCUCCUUGAAUACAUGAAGCUACUGGAAGAUGCACUCUUGCCCUGUACCAAGACUCGAAAAGAAGUUCUCUGGGAAUUUCCAUCUCAUCCCUCACACUAUCUGGCUAGCCCUCCCUACAAGCCAAAGCUGAAGGCUCAGACCACCCUCAUUAUUUUCACUGUCACCAGGGACAGGCUGGAAGAACAGCUGUUGGCUGAGGAACAGUUUCCUGACUUGGAAAACCAUAAGGCUGUGGAAGUGAUGGAUGCAUUCAGGGGGUUAGAGAAAGAUAUUGAAGUAUCCACCUAGAAGGGGAAAAUGUGCGCAGACUCAAAAAUGUCCAAAAAAGGAAAAGCUUUCCUGGGAAUGGAAACACAAAAGCUCUCUUCAGAAACUAAUCAUACUGAUGGCAGUCCAUCCGGAAAGAAUGACGUAUGCUCCUAGGAAUGUUGUGGAUGCAGAGCAUAGCUCAAGAUAUGUGGAAGGCAAAGGAAUGGACUUAGUAAAGUCAUACAAAGAAAUCAGUCCAACCACUCCUUUGUUUUUCAUUCCAUCUCCAGGAGUGAACCCAUUUGAAGACAUGGAGAUCUAGGCAAAAAGCUUCUACUAUAAACUCUGGAAGAUUUCAUAUCUCUUUAGAACAAAGGCAGAAGAUGGUUAUGGAGGAGGACUUGAUAAGGCUGCCAAGUAUGGCCACUGGCUUCUUCUCCAACAGAAUAUUCGUGUGGCAGCCAAGUGGCUAGGAACCUUGGAAAAACUCCUUGAGCAAUACAGUGAAGAAAGCCACUCUGACUUCCAUGUCUUCAUUAGUACUGAACCAGCUCCAGGCCCAGAAGAGCACGUCGUUCUUCAAGGAAUACUUGAAGACUGGAUUACAAUUACCAGAGGAGCUCCUACAAGGAUGCUAGCUAAUCUGUACGCUGCCCUCCACAGUUUUGACCAGGUAAAAGCAAGAUGGACUUUUUUCAUCCAUGCUCUAUUUACUCCUUCCUCUGUGGGGGGAACUGAUGGUGUUGAUGACUAAUGUGUAGCAGACCAGAACUUUGAGGUCUUUUUGCUGGCUUCUGUUUCCAGAGUAAAUGGCAGCCACGGGGUGCUAUCUGCCACGUGCCACCUCCAUGUUUUCCAUUCAUAUUGGGGGGAAAGUUGUGUUAAUAGCACAUAUAUACACACAUACACAUUUUUAAAUAUCUAGUUAUGGAUGUGCAUGGCUAUGUUUAUAAAGAUAGAAAAAAAGGUGCAUUUAUUGUACCAAUAGUACCCAAUAGUGCACUCUUAUGAAAACACCUGGCCAUGCUCUUCUAUUUGCUCAUGCUUCCUAACUUUGCUCAGCUGGUAAUUAUUGCUAAGUUAGACCAUAUCCAUGCUCGCACAAAGUGGAUUUAUGCAUCCAGAUAUUCUGGCAUUGCUUCAGUACCCUGUGUAUGAAUUCUUGUAGCUAGGUGUAAAGAAGGGAAUUUAUGAGCAAGGGUUACGUACUGCUCGCUGUUCUGUCUUCAGCUAUUUUCCUGUGUGAGCUCUGCUUGACAGAAGAAAGAAGUAGGCAAAGGAACAGGAAGGAAUAUAUCCCUGAAUGGGCUCUGCCUUCUACCUUCCAAGACCCUGGCUCUCCUUACUCUGAAGAACUUGUAGACAGAUCUUCCCAUUUGAUGCAAGUCAGCCAUGGAGGUGCUGGAGGAGCAAGUUUCAAGUCAGCAAAUCAUACCAUGAUAAAAGCAAACAAAAUAAUUUACUUUAGUCACCUAGUAGAGUAUUCAGGCUUCUUAGGACAGUGGUCAUGGAUCCAAGCCUGUCAGAGUUCAAGAAGCAUUUGGACAACAUGCUCAGAAAUACAUGUUGAAUUUUGGAUGGUCAUGUGUGGAGCCAGGUGAUGAACCCCAUUAUUCUUGUCCAUCCUUUCAACCCUGAAGAUUUGAUAAUACUAUUAACAUGUCUUUAUGUGUACAUUGGAUACGUGAAAGCAGAGCUUGGAUGCAAGCAGGGUAAGAGUUGCUUCUAAAGGAGACUCUGUCAACCAGUACCUAGAAAACCAGCACUGUGCACUAAAGGAUAUGUGUCACAGCUGCUGUAGCUACAAAGGCAUAGAUUAUGGCAGUAUGAGAAUAGCUAUAACUUCUACUGCUGUGAUGUUUUUCUUUUUAUAUAUAUAACUUACUAUAGUAAUGCUUUUAAUAGAAAGCUGAAAGAAAAGGCUAGACAAAAAUUUUAAUAAGAGCAAGCCAUAUGCUUUAUAGUCCCACUUCAGACUAUUUUCAGUUCAAGAAAUACAUAUGUGCAUUUUAAUUAGCUUAUUUCUAAGCUUGGUACUUUGGAAACUUUCUCCUUUCUUCCCUUCCCCCUUAUUUUGAGCCACAGGUGUUUGAAGCUUACUGCAAAUUCCUGUGCAGACAUUAUAUUUAACACAUCUCUUGUCGAGGUAUUUUAAUAUAUGGAUAUUAAUAUAUUUUUUGGAGGAAAAAACACUAUUGAGAAAAUCAAACUACACCUUACCUAGGUGGAAUAAAUUUCAUGUUUUGUUUCUUUAGGAUAGAAGCUUGUCUUGUAUUUUUAAUGGCUAAACUCAAGAUUCUGGCUUGAGCACAGUAGUUGGGUUUUUUUUUUUUUUUUUGUCGGAGAGAAUCUUCACUUUUGCUCAGACUUUGCGAACAGUUGUUCAGUUAAUGAUGACUUGUUUACUUUUGGCAGCCAAGAGUUUAUCCCUCUGAAGUUUCUUCCACCCAUAUAUGUUUUUAUGGGUAUCAAAAGUAGUAUUUGUUAUGUCUGU